AUUGAACGCUGGCGGCAGGCCUAACACAUGCAAGUCGAACGAGUGGCGGACGGGUGAGUAAUGUAUGGGAAACUGCCUGAUGGAGGGGGAUAACUACUGGUAACGGUAGCUAAUACCGCAUACCAUCUGAUGUGCCCAGAUGGGAUUGGCUAGUGGGUGGGGUAAAGGCUCACCAAGGCGACGAUCCCUAGCUUGGAUGAGAGGAUGACCAGCCACACUGGAACUGAGACACGGUCCAGACUCCUACGGGAGGCAGUAGUGGGGAAUAUUGCACAAUGGGCGCAAGCCUGAUGCAGCCAUGCCGCGUGGAUGAAGAAGGCCGUCGGGUUGUAAAGUACUUUCAGCGGGGAGGCGUUACCCGAAGAAGAAGCACCGGCUAACUCCGUGCCAGCAGCCGCGGUAAUAC
RNAcentral lists this ribosomal RNA (406 nucleotides) under uncultured bacterium. RNAcentral describes it as "partial 16S ribosomal RNA". It matches the Rfam family "Bacterial small subunit ribosomal RNA", at positions 30 to 526 of the family's 1533-position model. The record is from RNAcentral.